This 506-nucleotide ribosomal RNA is filed under the name uncultured Glomeromycotina. RNAcentral describes it as "partial small subunit ribosomal RNA". It matches the Rfam family "Eukaryotic small subunit ribosomal RNA", at positions 591 to 1092 of the family's 1831-position model. The record is from RNAcentral. Lineage: Eukaryota; Fungi; Glomeromycota.
CCAAUAGCGUAUAUUAAAGUUGUUGCAGUUAAAAAGCUAGUAGUUGAAUUUCGGGAUUGACACAUCGGUCGUGCCUUAAGGGGUAUGAACUGGUGUAGUCAAUUUCUCACCUUCUGGAGAACCGCAAUGCCCUUAAUUGGGUGUCGCGGGGAACCAGGACCUUUACUUUGAAAAAAUUAGAGUGUUUAAAGCAGGCAUUUUGCUUGAAUACAUUAGCAUGGAAUAAUAAAAUAGGACGGCAUGAUUCUAUUUUGUUGGUUUCUAGGAUCACCGUAAUGAUUAAUAGGGAUAGUUGGGGGCAUUAGUAUUCAAUUGUCAGAGGUGAAAUUCUUGGAUUUAUUGAAGACUAACUACUGCGAAAGCAUUUGCCAAGGAUGUUUUCAUUAAUCAAGAACGAAAGUUAGGGGAUCGAAGACGAUCAGAUACCGUCGUAGUCUUAACCAUAAACUAUGCCGACUAGGAAUCAGACGAUGUUAAUUUUUUAAUGACUCGUUUGGCACCUUACG